RNAcentral lists this ribosomal RNA (402 nucleotides) under Elliptochloris subsphaerica. RNAcentral describes it as "Pseudochlorella subsphaerica partial small subunit ribosomal RNA". It matches the Rfam family "Eukaryotic small subunit ribosomal RNA", at positions 30 to 432 of the family's 1831-position model. Lineage: Eukaryota; Viridiplantae; Chlorophyta; Trebouxiophyceae. The record is from RNAcentral.
GCUUGUCUCAAAGAUUAAGCCAUGCAUGUCUAAGUAUAAACUGCUUUAUACUGUGAAACUGCGAAUGGCUCAUUAAAUCAGUUAUAGUUUAUUUGAUGGUACCUUACUACUCGGAUAACCGUAGUAAUUCUAGAGCUAAUACGUGCGCACAUCCCGACUCCUGGAAGGGACGUAUUUAUUAGAUAAAAGGCCGACCGGACCUAGUCCGACUCGCGGUGAAUCAUGAUAACUUCACGAAUCGCAGGGCCUCGCGCCGGCGAUGUUUCAUUCAAAUUUCUGCCCUAUCAACUUUCGACGGUAAGGUAUUGGCUUACCGUGGUGGUAACGGGUGACGGAGGAUUAGGGUUCGAUUCCGGAGAGGGAGCCUGAGAAACGGCUACCACAUCCAAGGAAGGCAGCAGG